ACUGGGCGUAAAGCGCAUGCAGGUGGUUUGUUAAGUCAGAUGUGAAAGCCCGGGGCUCAACCUCGGAAUUGCAUUUUGAAACUGGCAAACUAGAGUACUGUAGAGGGGGUAGAAUUUCAGGUGUAGCGGUGAAAUGCGUAGAGAUCUGAAGGAAUACCGGUGGCGAAGGCGGCCCCCUGGACAGAUACUGACACUCAGACUGCGAAAGCGUGGGGAGCCAAACAGGAUUAGAUACCCUGGUAG
This 243-nucleotide ribosomal RNA is filed under the name uncultured bacterium. Its description in RNAcentral is "partial 16S ribosomal RNA". It matches the Rfam family "Bacterial small subunit ribosomal RNA", at positions 553 to 793 of the family's 1533-position model. The record is from RNAcentral.